Molecule: long non-coding RNA, 959 nt
Organism: Spinacia oleracea (spinach)
Lineage: Eukaryota; Viridiplantae; Streptophyta; Magnoliopsida; Caryophyllales; Amaranthaceae
Exons: 3
Source: RefSeq, a predicted model, not a curated record
CAUCUUUUUCUUUGUCUGCCUUCUUCUUCCUCCUUUACACGUAUGAGAACUUUCUCAUCAAGCUUCUUGACUUUUCAUUCUUCAGUCCAAGAACAAAGCAAAAACUCAUUUCUCAUUCUUUCUCCUUUAUGCGUGGCAAAACCUUGUUAAUUUGAAAUGCCAAAUGUCCAAUUUAUUUAUCAAUUUCAUGACUCACCAUGUCAAGAAAGCUUAUAAAUAGCCAUUAAAGUUUCUGUCAUCUUCAAGCUUACAAAUCCAACUCAAAUUUGAGUAAUCAAAUUAAAAACACCAUUGUUAAAGGUUGGAACUUUUUACCCCAUUAAUUUUGACCACCAUUUUUCUCUCUCCUCCGUUGACCACCGCGGCACCACCCCUUGACCGCCGCCGCUGCCACCACCAUAUUCCAGCAACUCCUUCCUUCGUUGCCCAGAACCAAGACCCGGCGUCACUGCCCGUCGUCGGCGUCCACCGUUAUUUCCUUUCUACUGCUUAUGUUUCUUUUUUUCUUUUUUUUUGUCCAAAGCCCAAAAAGAUUAAAGGGGAUUGUUAUUUAGUGGGUUAUGAUUGGGUAAUUAUGGAGCAAUUAUUAUGGGUUUUGGUGAGUGGGCCGCAAGCUUCAAGGAAAAAUGCAGCAUGGUUUUGAGAUUUUCCAGUUGUUGGAGUUCAACUACGAUGAUUCGGGAUUAUGGGUUUGAAAGCAAGAAUUCGACAUUAAGUUAAGCAUUCGGAUUUUUACGACCGAGGUUCAAUUAAGGAGCUCAAGUUGCUCAAACGAGAGUUAUUACUGGAGUUGGUUAUUUAUUAUGGAGAUAUCGAGAUGAGAGAUUAUUUAUUAUGGAAAUCCUGUUAUUGAGGUUGUUAUAAGAAUAUUGAUUUAUAUUUUAUGGGAAAAUUGUAUUUUUUUUUUUUAUGGAAUGUUUUUAAGGAUUAUUUUAUUUGUGGGCCCAUACCCACAGGUC